GUUUCUUAGUGACACCAGCUAUGAUACAAGCUCAUGGAUUGAGAGGGUUCUUAUAAUAGGAGCAUCUUCUGGACCAAAGCAAGCAACCGUCAAAAGUGCAUCUGUAAACGGAAACGUGGAAGUUAUGUACAAUAGUGGUACUCAAGUGUUGAUGAUUCGCAAACCAGCAGUUAAAGUAACGGAAGAAUGGUCAAUAAUUCUUCAUUAACUGAUACUAGAUCAACUUUAGACAAUAAAUUGGGCACAGCUACAGGAACACUUUACCUCGAUGACGGUGAUAGUUUUAAAUACCAAAAAGGACAAUGGCUGUAUAUGAAAUUCGAGUUCAAAGAUAACACAGCACAACAAAUUUUGGGUUUUGGUUUUUCCUUCGAACCAAACCAAUUUUUUUCGAUUCCUAGGUGCUAAAGAAGCCCGAAAAUGGCCAUAUUAACUUCAGGAAAAUUUGCUGGUGCUCAGGGCGCCGCCAUUUUGAAUUUAACAAAAUUGAGAAAACUCACGAUCAGUUUUUUGGAAAUAUCUCCUUAACGGUUGAUAUUACGAAAAAACAAAAAAAAAUCAGCAGAAAGUACAUAAAAUUUCUUACUGAAAUCACCCUCCUUUUUCUUUCCUAGCUUAAUUUUUUGGUCGUUAAAUUAACGUUUUUGUCACAAAUUAGCUUUAAAAAGGCGCAUUUUCGCUGAUUUUUGGAGAAACUUUGGUUCAUAUCUCCAGCCACGAUUAUCUGAGAAAAAAACUGUUAAGCUCAUUGAAAAGAGCGUAAAAUUUACUUCUAAAAACGUAUGUCAAAAGUUUGAAAGCUUGGUUUAACCCUGUGAAACAGCAGUUUAUUAGCUCCGCCCUUAAAAUGUGAUUUUUUCGACCAUUUCCCUUAGAAUCAAGAAAAAAAGAGAAAAAAAUCCUAAAAACAAGACCCGAACUGUUUAAAAAGGUGGCAAAAUAGUGCUGGGUCCACACUAUUUUGAAAACAAAACCAAAAAUUUCCAAAAUUUUGAGCUGUAAUAAGUUCCAGUACGAAACUUGCCGUCUUGCAGGUGCGACCUAGGUGUCAGAUGAGCAAACGAAGCGAUUGCCUUAGGCGCUGAUGAGAGAGGGGCGCCGAACAGUCGAAAGGGAAAAAAGGACGGGGGGAAAUGAGAAAGAGAAAAAAUUUGGCUCUUAAAAUUCAAAAUUUUCUGUAGAGGCCCUCCUUCCCCGCAACCUUCUCUCGGGGGGUUAGGGGCGCCGACAACAUCCUUGCCUAAAAGUUUUCGCCACGGUCCUGCAGGUGCAGAAGGAAACUUUCAGUUCGAUGCCAACUUGGAUUUUGCGGGAUGUUAAGUUGGGCUCACUGACAAGUGUGAUCUACUGACUAGGUCUAUAAAAAGACCCAAAAUUAUAGAUCUCUUGCCGUGACCUCAACUGAAUAUUCUAUUGCUAAUUGCCUGAGCUGAACGUUCUUUCCCUUCAGUAAUGUACUGCCGUACUGGUUACACAUUAGAGCUCAAAAAUUUUGACUCCAAUUGAAAAUUUUGGAACUUUUUAGUUUUGUUUUCAAAAUAGUGUGGACCCAGCACUAUUUUGCCACCUUUUUAAACAGUUCGGGUCACGUUUUAGGGUUUUUUUCUCUUUUUUUCUUGAUUCUAAGGAAAAUGGUCGAAAAAAUCACAUUUUAAGGGCGGAGCUAAUAAACUGCUGUUUCACAGGAUUAAACCAAGCUUUCAAACUUUUGACAUACGUUUUUAGAAGUAAAUUUUACACUCUUUUCAAUGAGCUUAACAGUUUUUUUCUCAGAUAAUCGUGGCUGGAGAUAUGAACCAAAGUUUCUCCAAAAAUCAGCGAAAAUGCGCCUUUUUAAAGCUUUUGUGACGAAAACGUUAAUUUAACAACCACAAAAUUAAGCUAGGAAAGAAAAAAGAGGGUGAUUUCAGUAGGAAAUUUUAGGUACUUUCUGCUGGUUUUUUGUUUUUUUCGUAAAAUCAACCGUUGAGGAGAUAUUUCCAAAAAACUGAUCGUGGGUUUUCUCAAUUUUGUUAAAUUCAAAAUGGCGGCGCCCUGAGCACCAGCAAAUUUUCCUGAAGUUAAUAUGGCCAUUUUCGGGCUUCUUUAGCACCUAGGAAUCGAAAAAAAUUGGUUUGGUUCAAAGGACAAACCCCAUGUUGACCAGUGUAAUGUGUUGAGCUCUUCGUAAGUUUCUUUACCACAUUUUAAACUGACAAUAUCAUCUCACCAUCAGGCAGGAUAUAUAGUGAUUGUAUAGGAUUAAUGUAUCUGAUCAGUUGUCACUUUCCUUCGGUGGGUUAACAAUUUUUGCUGCCAUCCUGAUAAAUCUAACUGUACAAGCUAAGUAGUAAUGUUUUUCAAGAUUUAGACUAUAAUCAGAUAUCUACUAACUGCAGUUGAGAUUUAAAUAAUGGCAGUAUGAGGCACAAUAGGAGAUGGAAAAGAUUCAAAGGUGGGCCAAUGGGUAGUGCCUUAUUUGCAUGCUAUCAAAACAUUCAACAAUUUUCGGUUUCCAAAGGCAGCUACACAAAACUAAAUGAUUCUUCCAAAUUUCAUCACUACUAACCUAUUAUUUAAGGUCGUGUCUGUUCUCUUCCCCAGGUAAAAAAGAUAAAACUUAUUUUUAUGUCAAAAUAACUUUGCAUUCAUCUCUAGCUUCACUUACGGUUCAAUAAUCGAUAAGGACUUGGUUUUAAAACAAUCUGAACGGAUCGUUAAAAAGUUGAAGAUCGUUAAAUCGUCUGAUAAAAGUUAUAGAGACUCUCAUGCAGGGGCUGACUUUUUUCAGAAGCCCACCGUGAUCUGUAAUCAACUCGUUUUCUCUGCCAUCUGUUGAUAGGCAUCUCUCUUUAUCUAUCUGUUUCUGUGAAUGUUUUCUUGCUGUUUUGAGGUCAUGAAUUCCUCACCCUAUCUAAUUCUUAAUCAUGAAAGGUGAUUUUCUCCUUAAUUGGUUUUGGCACCUUUUGAUUUUUAGCCAUGAGCAUUUAUCCUUCGUUUAUAAAUUUAGUGUACUAUUAGUAACUAUUUAAAUUUUUAUGUUAGGAUGUACGAAUAAAAAAGGUAUAUACGAUUUAGAUCACAAUGUAAACAUUAAGCGCUCCUUCAGUGAGUUCACAAAGAGAAUUUUAACAUCAAAUCCUUAAUUAUAAAAACUCCCAAAGAACCCAUGUUAUUUGCAGGACUGGAGGUUAGAGUGAAGGAGCCCUUACCCGCCCCCGUCUGUUGAAUGACUUCUCCAUGAUGGGUUUGGUUUAUCAUAGGUCACCACCAAUCUACAGUCUUUGUAUUGUUGCCCAUCUUUUAGGGCCUAAAUAUUUUUGAAACACUUGUCGUGUGUUACGCAAAGUUUUCUUCCAAAUUCGUCCUGAGACAGUUUUUCAUCUAUCCUUUUCUUUUUCAUAUCCUAUGGAUGAUUAACAAGUGCCCUUCAAUACAUGUUAAUUAUUGAUGUAAAAAUUGAGUUUUCGAUUGUUAGUUCCAAAAACUGCCACCACCAGAGUGCUAAAAGCUUACUGUGUGACUUGUUGAUGCUCUGUAAUUUGAUAAGUUUAUUAAUUUUUGUCAUUACAGCAACAGUGUGCUGUUGAUGUCAUAGAUUAAUGAGACAAAACAGUCACUAGGACUUAAGGCUUUCUUGAUCGAUUAACUUUUCACAAGCUUAUCAAUUUGAAAGCACGUAGGCUGUUGAUUAUUAAGAGCUAAAAAAAUGAAG
This 3694-nucleotide long non-coding RNA is filed under the name Bemisia tabaci. RNAcentral's name for it is "lncRNA ENSASIAIIG005632". Lineage: Eukaryota; Metazoa; Arthropoda; Insecta; Hemiptera; Aleyrodidae. The record is from RNAcentral.